GUUUGAGGAAAGCGACGGAGAAAGACGCACGCAGGACACAAUGGCGCAGCUUUGAGUGAUAAGAUAAGUUUCCUGGACUAUUUUGGAUAGUUUCAGUUCCAAGUUUGUCCUGCAGUUUUAUAUGUAUUUUUUGCACUUUCAGGCGGUUGGUUUAGCACUGAACUGCUGGCAUUCGCUAGCUAAAUAGAUGUCGCACACAGGAAGCGUAGUUUAGCCGGCUGCAUCUUCAGCAUUCCGGCCUGGAUAUGGAUACUAGUCCUAAAUUAAGCGGUAAUAGUCUGAAGAGUGGCUUUGGAUUACAGUAUUUGAUGUUUCCCUUUUCCUGCACCUGGAUAUUUCUCAUUGGGAUGUAACCUUGGACCAGGAGACAUCGCCAUCUUAGGUCAUCGGUUGGUCUUUCCUCUUCACCUGAACUGGAACCUGAGACUGGAUACUGAACUGCUAAACCAGAUCUAUCAUUCACUGCCAUGGCAUGCAGCAUCUCUGGAUUGGCACUUCUGAUGAGCCGUGGGGGGCUUACGCUGCUGUCAAACAGACUCUUUGUGACAACUCGACACUUGUGGACACAGCAGUCAUUAUGACCAGUUAUAGUGAGCAGAGGAGCUCAUCUGAUGGGUCUGUGAGUUCUGCAGGACUGAUGAGCAAAGAAGACGUGGUGAGUU
This is a long non-coding RNA of Poecilia latipinna (sailfin molly), 662 nucleotides long. RefSeq lists it as uncharacterized. The transcript is spliced from 3 exons. Lineage: Eukaryota; Metazoa; Chordata; Actinopteri; Cyprinodontiformes; Poeciliidae. The record is from RefSeq and is a predicted model, not a curated record.